GCUUUAUAUUACAUUGUUGGCCGGUUAAUGUAAAUCAUGAACAGAUUUUAUGUAUCAGUCUUUAUCUUCCUGGCAAUUGUGAUGACUAUUUGUUCCAGUUGUAAAUUGCGGAUCAAUGGUUGCAGCACACCAACAAGCAGUAAUUCCUGGCCUUACAAAAAAGAUUUUACUCCAGCAUGCAAUCGUCACGACGUUUGUUAUAGAUGUG
This is a non-coding RNA of Paramuricea clavata, 208 nucleotides long. The record is from the annotation of a GenBank genome assembly. Lineage: Eukaryota; Metazoa; Cnidaria; Anthozoa; Malacalcyonacea; Plexauridae.